This 267-nucleotide long non-coding RNA is filed under the name Serinus canaria (Common canary). RNAcentral describes it as "lncRNA (ENSSCAG00000010800.1)". Lineage: Eukaryota; Metazoa; Chordata; Aves; Passeriformes; Fringillidae. The record is from RNAcentral.
AAACUGGGCAUUUUCAGCUCUCAUGAUCUCAGUUGCUGCUUCCCCAGUCCUGUUUGUGCCUAACAAGCUUGCAGUUCAUCCUAGAGCACUUCUGGACCCCAGGGUUUCACUACAAGGACAAUUUCCUGGAAGUUCAUGAAUUUUUCAGGCAGCUUUCAUCACUAACCUUCCACUUCAAUUUGAAGAGAAUGGCAAGAAAACAGCUGAAAGGGGAUCAGGAAACUUUGCACUUUUCCCAAAUGGUAUCAACCUAUGGCUACCUAAAAC